UGGGGAAUAUUGGACAAUGGGCGAAAGCCUGAUCCAGCAAUGCCGCGUGAGUGAUGAAGGCCUUAGGGUUGUAAAGCUCUUUUACCCGGGAUGAUAAUGACAGUACCGGGAGAAUAAGCCCCGGCUAACUCCGUGCCAGCAGCCGCGGUAAUACGGAGGGGGCUAGCGUUGUUCGGAAUUACUGGGCGUAAAGCGCACGUAGGCGGCUUUGUAAGUUAGAGGUGAAAGCCCGGAGCUCAACUCCGGAAUUGCCUUUAAGACUGCAUCGCUAGAAUUGUGGAGAGGUAAGUGGAAUUCCGAGUGUAGAGGUGAAAUUCGUAGAUAUCGGGAGGAACACCAGUGGCGAAGGCGGCGAUCUGGGUCGAUACUGACGCUGAGGUGCGAAAGCGUGGGGAGCAAAC
Molecule: ribosomal RNA, 401 nt
Filed under: uncultured bacterium
Lineage: Bacteria
Description: bacterial SSU rRNA
Rfam family: Bacterial small subunit ribosomal RNA
Source: RNAcentral